Molecule: long non-coding RNA, 349 nt
Filed under: Capsicum annuum
Lineage: Eukaryota; Viridiplantae; Streptophyta; Magnoliopsida; Solanales; Solanaceae
Description: long non-coding RNA (CANN_LNC003330)
Source: RNAcentral
AGAACUUCGCCAGAUCACAAAGGAGAAAAUGAAGCUGUCCGUGGUCAAGAUUUUGAAAAGGUGCCUGGUUUAUUCUCGAUCCGGUGCAUAAAAUUCCACUUGACUGGUUAAUUUCUUAUUGAAAGCAUUGAGAUGUUCCAGAUGUUCAAUUUUAAUUCCUCCUAUAUGGUUUUGAAUUGUAUUUUUCAGCUAAUUCAACUAAUCACUACACAUACAAGAUUAAUAAUUCCUUACAUCUCUAUGCAUACCUUGAUAGACAAAAACAAAGAGAUGAGCAAGGCCGAAUCUGAGGAAGGAGAUGCGGUCCUCUAGUGACAGAGGCAGAUAUUCAGCACAUGGCCUCUUCCUG